AAAGUAUUAAAACCAAAUUGGAAUGUUUAUGGAACCUGAGUUACACCAGCAUGUAUCUCCUCAGUGUAAAACACAGCCAAUCAGAUUUACUCCCACAUGGGUCCUUCACCACCAAACCAGCU
This is a long non-coding RNA of Etheostoma spectabile (orangethroat darter), 122 nucleotides long. RefSeq lists it as uncharacterized. Lineage: Eukaryota; Metazoa; Chordata; Actinopteri; Perciformes; Percidae. The transcript is spliced from 3 exons. The record is from RefSeq and is a predicted model, not a curated record.